Molecule: ribosomal RNA, 254 nt
Filed under: uncultured bacterium
Lineage: Bacteria
Description: partial 16S ribosomal RNA
Rfam family: Bacterial small subunit ribosomal RNA
Source: RNAcentral
UACAGAGGGUGCGAGCGUUAAUCGGAAUUACUGGGCGUAAAGGGCUCGUAGGCGGCCAACUAAGUCAGACGUGAAAUCCCUCGGCUUAACCGGGGAACUGCGUCUGAUACUGGAUGGCUUGAGUUUGGGAGAGGGAUGCGGAAUUCCAGGUGUAGCGGUGAAAUGCGUAGAUAUCUGGAGGAACACCGGUGGCGAAGGCGGCAUCCUGGACCAACACUGACGCUGAGUGAGCGAAAGCCAGGGGAGCAAACGGG